RNA transcript from Camelus dromedarius (Arabian camel), 7432 nucleotides. It is a transcript of the gene named zinc finger matrin-type 3, with no coding region annotated. Lineage: Eukaryota; Metazoa; Chordata; Mammalia; Artiodactyla; Camelidae. The record is from RefSeq and is a predicted model, not a curated record. The transcript is spliced from 8 exons.
GUCUCCUCCUCCGCCGCCUCCCGGUUCCGCAGUCACUUCCUGCAGCUGUUUCCCUGUGGGUCCGGUCGGACUGAGUUUUGACAGUCAGCCUCCAGCAGCCAAGGGGGUUCUGCGGGGCCAGCCGCGAAAGUUGCUCGGAGGCAGGCGGAGUUGAACCAGGCCAAGCCGGGCGCCCAGGACAGACGGCGGCAGACUUCCCGGGCGGACGCGGCGCAGACUCUCCGCGGCGCGUCCCGGGGGUUCCGGCGUGCAGCUGCCUUGGCCCUGGCGCUUGCCCCAGCCCCGUGGGAGACCGGGGAUUCCAUCUUUCGUGAUGGCAUGCUUACGGAAUUGAGAUUUGAAGACCCAACUUCUUGUCACCCACUGGAUUAUGCCCAAGGCUUUCCUACCCAAUGAUCCUCUUGCAACACGCCGGGCUUCCUCUGCCUAAGCGGCCCUCAUCCUCUCCUCCUAUGUCAGUGGCCGCCAGGUCUACAGGAACCUUGCAGCUUCCACCGCAGAAGGCUUUUGGGCAGGAGGCUUCCUUGCCUCUGGCCGGGGAAGAAGAGUUACCUAAGGGAGGGGAGCAAGACUCUGCCCUGGAGGAGCUGUGUAAGCCCCUGUACUGCAAGCUCUGCAAUGUCACCUUGAACUCAGCACAGCAAGCCCAGGCUCAUUAUCAGGGUAAAAAUCAUGGUAAGAAACUUCGAAAUUACUAUGCAGCGAACAGCUGUCCUCCUCCUGCUAGAGUGAGUAACGCAGUGGAACCUGUGGCGACUCCAGCUGUUCCAGUCCCUCCGCAGAUGGGCUCCUUUAAGCCAGGAGGCAGAGUGAUCCUGGCCACAGAGAAUGAUUACUGUAAGCUCUGUGACGCCUCCUUCAGUUCUCCGGCGGUGGCUCAGGCUCACUACCAGGGGAAGAACCACGCCAAGAGGCUGCGGCUGGCCGAAGCUCAGAGCAACUCGUUCUCAGAGCCCUCAGACAUCGGUCAGCGGCGGACCCGGAAGGAAGGGAAUGAAUACAAGAUGAUGUCUAAUAGGAGAAAUGUGUAUGCAGUACAGAAUAAUUCAGCAGGUCCUUACUUCAAUCCCCGCUCUCGGCAGAGAAUUCCACGUGAUCUUGCCAUGUGCGUUACUCCAAGUGGCCAGUUUUACUGCUCCAUGUGUAACGUUGGGGCUGGUGAAGAAGUGGAGUUCCGGCAGCAUUUGGAGAGCAAGCAACAUAAAAGCAAGGUGUCUGAACAGCGGUACAGGAAUGAGAUGGAGAAUCUGGGCUACGUAUAAUGAUUGUCAUAUUCAAGUAGAGAGCUUGUCCUGCCUGUGGUUUGCCUUCUGUCAACAUGCCCUGCUUUGUGAUUCUUUUGAUAUGAGUACAUUUCUCUGCCUAAUGUUAAUACAUGUAACCUUGCAGUGGUACCAUGAGGGGUCAAAACUGGAGAAUGAAGAGAACGUACUUAAGUCAUGAUGUUUUUUCAGUUUGUUGACUGUCCUGAAAAAUACCAUGACCUUACUGUUUCCCAGAUGCAGAGGAAUUUUUUUUAAGUUAGUCAAAUUUCAGUAUCAUCAUUUCUAAUAGAAAAAUACAUGAACUUUGGCUUUAUCCUUUAUGAUUCAGCUUCCUUGAAGAUAAUGAAAAUAUAUUAUAGAUUACUUUCAUAUCUAAUAAUUACAACAGUAUUAUUAUUUUUGUUCUGUUUUUUUAAAAAUAGCUCUAGUGUUAUACUUAGAUUAACUAAUAGAGGACUCUCUGAACUUUCAUUAACUGUAUUUACCUAUUUACUGUAUUGACGUGGAUAAGACCGUAAGUUCAUCUCUACUUUUUUGAAAGGUCACGUUCACCAGGAACUUUAUAUUGAGCAGUAUCUUUGCACUAUGGUAAAUUCACUUUUUAUUGCUUAUAUUACUAAUUAAAAAUAAAACUCCUAAUCUUCCUUGAGAAUUCUAUAGGCAAAGAGUUGGGGAGAAGGAAAAUUAUAAUCAUCAUUCCUUUCCUUUAGAACUUCUGAACAAUUUUUGAACAAUCUAGACCCAUAUUUAAAAUUCAGUUUUGCAAUUAACCUCUGGUACACUAACAAGUUACUGUUCCAUUGAAGUGGUGGUUUUUUGAAAAGCAGAAUUGUUUAGUAAUUUUAUUUUCUCCCAGAAACAAAAGAAUGAAAUAAUGUUCUGUUGAAUUCUCGCUACAUCUGUGACUCUUAGUAUGAUAACCCUUUUUCCAGUAAUCUGUGAAGUAUAAUUGAUUAUUUUAGGGCAAUUUAGAGCUUAUCUUAUUGGUCAGUAGUUUACUCAUUUUGCUGCUAAGUAUACUUUUUUGGUAGAUUUUAAUAUUACAGUGCUGGCCACAUGGCUCUAUGAUUAUUUAAAAACCUCACUUUCCCUCCUCUCUUUGUAUGUAUAUGUAUGUGUGUAUAUAUAUAUGUAUUUAUAUACAUAUACACACACACACAUAUAUAACUGUGUAUAUAUAAUUUUGUGUGAUACCAUAGAGAAAAUUUCAUCAAAUCUUUAUUUCAGAUAAUAGUAAAAGAUUGUGGAUAAGAACUUACAUUUUGUGAAAGUGGCAUUCAUCCACUUUCAGUUUUUCCUUAGCAAAUAAAAUUAGAGGAAAGAUUUGCCCUACUCUCCCCACUUAACAAUUUCAUAUAUAAAUACACACACACACACACACAAAGCAGUGGACUUAAGGCCUUGAAGGUUAUCCUGGCCUUGCAUAUUCAGGUUUCUAGUCUCUCAGUGCCCUUAAUGGAUGUUAUGAAUGCAUAAACGCAUUUUCUUUUAAAGAAGAAAGUUAGAUUUAUAGCGUUAUUUCUUACUUGUUAUAUUUCUUUGCACUAAAAAAGAGCUAUGUGUUUGUUUUAUAUGACACUUUAAAUACCAUAUUGCCUACAAUAGCUCAGUUUGCUCCUUAAUUUCUAGGAAGUUGAUAACUUCCAGGAUCAUUUAUAGAGAUUAUAUACACAUCCCCUCCCCCCCAUAAAAAUCACAGAUCUCUGUGAUAAUGGGUUGUGUUUUGGGCUUGUUACCUUGCAAUAGUCUCCUGUGUUCCUUGAGUGAAACAAAAGGUGACAGAGAUGUCACAAAGGAAACGCCUAAAUAAAUCCAUCUCUGCAUGGUACAGUUUCUCAUACUCAUGCAUUCCUUAAAGACAGUGUUUUUCCCUGUCAAAGAAGACUGUGGUUACUACUGCAGUCAGUGAUAUGUGAUCUCCAUUGAUUUCAUUUUGUGAAAUUGAGUCCUGUUCUGUAAUGUGCUUUAAAAUUUGCAGCCUGUGCUCCCCAGGAAUGAUACUAGUAUCUUUUUUAUGUUGUGUACAAGGAUGGACAAGAGGCCUAAUCAACGGAAAACCUUUAGCCAAAUAAGUCAAAUAGAUUUCAGUAUUCAUCUGCAAGAACGCAUAGCAUCAAAGUCUCUUUUCCCUGUGACUAUCUGUGUGUAAGUUGUCAUUUCAAAACUCAAUGUUAGAAGAUAACAAUUAGAAACUCUUCGAAGAUAUUGAGGGCAAGAAAUUGUAAAGGAAAAAAUUCAGUGUUCCAAUUAAAAGAUUGGAUUGCUUAUGCCUUCAAAGUGGUUUUUUUUUAAAGUUCAGCUGCACAACUGAGUGUGCCAGGUAAUCCUUUAGACUCUACGUUGAACAGAAAAUACUUUAUUGGUCUCAUCUUUGUGUAUCAUGUAUUACAACUUGUAAAUAUGUGCAUGUUGUUUAGGACAUUUGUCUGCUUGUCUCUUAUUGCACUGAAUUCUGCAAGGUGAAUAGUUGUUUUAUACCAUUCAUUUUGAAAAAGUUCCUCCUCCAACUCUUCCUCUCUAUUUCCCCAUUUCAUUAGUUGGUGAGCCUAGAAAACUGUUUAGAGUUUUUGAAACCCUGAGACUGGAUGAAGAAUCAUGGCAAUCUGAGACCAUCCUUAUGUCCCUCUGACUUAAACAGCUAAAAGGAAAGCAUGACAUUGUCCACCUUACUUUACAAAGCUCUUCUGCAAAACUGUGUGCUUGCUUAUGGCUACCUAUCUGUACUUUGAACAAAGAUAAAUGGAUAUGUGUGUCUAUACCUGGUUAAAUCUUCCUCCGCAGAUAGAUUCUAAGGAUUAGUGGUGGGAUUAAUGAUUGCUUCACUCCUGAAUUGGCUGGGACUGUGAGCAAUGACAGUUUGAGGACUGUCCAGUGACCCAUAUAAAAUGAGUCUCGCUUGUCCAGGGGAGACAUGUAACUGUUCUGCAUAGUAUCCUCUACACACGGGCUUAGGAGUGAUGGAUUUGGAACCUAAUGUGUUUAGUUUCCUCAGUGUCAGAACAUAGGCUGGGAGUACUUUCUAAAAAAUUUGGUGGCACAUAUACUAAAGACAACAGAGGUGCUUUAGAAAUAGAGAAAUGUUUUGUUAGUAUAGGUAAAAAUUUAGUGUGGGCCUCUGAAUAGUUAUUUUGAAAAUAUUCCACCCUACCAAAUUUUUUUUUUUUACAGCCAAGUCACCAUUCAGGAGUUUCAUACAUAGUAAAGAAUGCUUAAGAAUGCUUUGUUUUUGCUUUAGGGCUUUUUUUUUGGCAGUGAACUCCAUUGUGAGCUAUUACUAUCAAUCUAACUGAAUGGACAAAUAGCUGUGUAAAUAGCUUCUCAUACGACAUUUCUACUGAUAACUGACUGUGUCUUCCCGUUAUGAAUGGGAGGAUCAUUUAUCAACUCCCUUUCUGAGUGGCUACCAAAAAAACACUGGCUUAUGGUCCCAUGUGACCCUGUCUCCGUUAAGCCCAGAAUAUGAGUGCCUUUAGCAAGUUUUAGCAUUUCACAGAGAGAUGAUAGAGUUAUUGCCAUUAAUCACAAUUCAUAAAACAGGAGCUUGGGAUAGCAAAGGUUUGUGUGAAUUCUAUGUUCUACAUCUUUUUUGUUUCUUCAUGCAAUCUCAAUUUGAUAUUGAGUAAAACUCUUAAUACUUAGUAAUUGUGCUAGUUCAUCUCUAUAUUAAAAACAGGCAUCUUCACAAAUCAGGUUCAAGAUAUUUUAAAGCAAAAUAUUCCCACUUAAUUUAAAAUUCUAAAUUGCCUGAGUACUUUGAAUUUUUAAAACACACUGCUAAAUUAAUUUUAUUGUAGAAAUACUAACAUUUUCCUCAACAUUUUAUUAUGAAAAAUUUAAAACAUCCAUUAGAGUUGAAAAAUUUUACAGUAUACCCACCGCUAGGUUUUACCGUCAACAUUUUAUUGUACUUGCAUUCCUGCAUUUCUGUCUGAACCUAUAUUCACCCAUCAAACAAUGGAGUGUUUAAAAAUACACAUUUUAAUGUAAAUUUCAGAUGUUAUUUUUCCCUUAAACAGUUCAGCAUAGGUGUUAUUAACUAGAGUUUAACAUUUGUUUGAAUAUUAAAAUCUUUUAAAAAGCAGUGUGUGAAGUUGAUAACCUGAGCCAAUUAACAUAGGUCUUUGUCUCUUGUGGACUCUGGCUUUCCAGUUUCUGUUUUUGUAUGUGCUUCAAGUGAGGGGAGACUCCUUUUCAAACUGAAGUUUUCUAGUGUUGGUCAUUUUAAAUGCUUCAUUGUCAUACAUUUUAAAGCUUCACGAUAAGAAUUUUUUCUUAACCCCUCCUCUUAUGAUGUAUUUUUGCUGAACUAUGCAGCUUCUUUAAAAAAAAAACUGUAAAUGACCAGUUAGGGUUUAUUAAAUCAGCUUAUACCUCAUUUCAAUCUAUGGCUGCUUUUUCCUUGGUGUCCUUUCUCCUUUUACUGCUUUCACCUGUUCUACUGGGAAGUAGAGAUGCGUGAAGAGUCAACCCCACAGAUGAUUAGCUGUAUUAAACAACUCUAGAACUGAUUAAGUAGUUGAGAAAGUUGAAACCAUUAAUUUAUCCAAAGCCUUUGAAUUCCUUCAGAAUUCUAACUGCCCAUGCCCUCUCUCCAGCCAUAAUUAGCAGGAUUAAAAAUGAUUGUACUGUACACUGAGUUGUUGAAAUUGUGAGCCUUAGUAACCAUCUUUAGCUUUACUCUAGUCCUGUUUAGGAAAAAAAAAUUGACAUAUACCUUUAUUUUUAUGCCUUUUUUUUUGUGUAUGUGGACAAAAUGUGAAGAAUUUAAGUGACUUGUUGGGAAGAUUCAGUGGGUAAGUCAGAACUGAAACUUCAGUAUUCCUGAUUCAUAUUCUUGUGCUUGUUUAAUAAGAUUCAUGGCUUUCAAAAUAACUGAACACUUCCUUUGGGACCCUUAAAGUGAAAAUGUGUAUUUUUACUAAUUAGACUUUUAUUUUUCAACAUUUCACAAUUCUUUGAACUUUGAAAUUUUUGCAUGAAUUUUCCUCAUUGAAUCAAUGCAGCUGCUAAAAACCUCACUUUGCUUUUGAAUCCUAACUAAUAAUACAGGUUUUAUCAGAUUUCCUUUUGCAUUUAAAUAACCCUCAUGAUUCACUCAUAAUUUUCUAUGUAAGUGCUUAAGUGACCCCCUCACUAGUGAAAAGAAAUGUUCUAUAUCACUGAUUAUAUGUAUAUUCUCUACGUGAUAUAUUUUUUUAAGCAAAAGUAACCCCAUCCCAUGUGUCCAGAUGAACGAUAUUACCUAGGGCAAAGCACACAUGAAGUGAUUUAUUUCUACUCUGAAAAUCUGGCAUUUACGGGAACAAAACUCUUUUAGAGUGGCUGGUCAUUGUUUUACCUUCUUUUGGUACUUGAGCACCUUUCUGUGGUUUUUGUAAAUUAGUCUGUCAUUUUGUAAGAAUUUCAUGUUGAUUCUGUGUUCCUUGGUGUUCCCCUUGUGGUAUCCUCAGCUGAUCAUCAUAAUUUAAUUUGGGUAUGGUUGUGUGUCUGCUUUGAAAUGCCUUACUAGAGCAUGUCAGACUCUGCUCUGAAGCAUUCCGUGUAUCUGCUAGGACAGCAAGUUGCCUCUCUUGGAUGUAUGCUCUAGAUCCAGAAGCAAAACUGAUUUUGCUUUCACUGUUAAGGUUGCAUUUUAGUGCAGAUACUGUUUUAAAUUAGAGAAUAAAAUCAUGGAAAACCAAGGGGGGACUUUAGAACCCUUCAUCUAACGGCAUGGCAAACUUUUAAAACUGCUUUUGCUAUUUCACUAGAACAAUGCCUCUGGUAGAGGAUAGAGCUAAAAAAUGCCAGCCCAAACUGUAUGAAAUUGGGACUGUUUCCCACAGUUUUCUCUAAAUGUCAUACAGGGGUUUAACAUCUGUGUAUAUGUUUCCCAGUGACUACUGGGGAAAUCUGUGCUCUGAGGCUUCAUAAAUGACAAACGUGUCAUGAGGUUAAAACCAAUCAACUGUGAAUUGUGAAAUUGAAAUUGCUCUUUUGGUUUUAUUUUAUUCAGCAUAUUGAAUAGAGGAAUCUGAAAGUUAUUCAAAAUUUACACUGCUUAUGUUGAUGGCUCAUUUUGGCUGUGUAUCCUCACUUAUGUACUGAUUUCUGAUAAAGGCUUGACGUUAUUAUGACAGUCAUUUUGUGUUCAAUUUAAUAAAAAGUUUCUGAGUCUUGUCUGCAAA